CCUACGGGUGGCUGCAGUGAGGAAUAUUGGUCAAUGGGCGAGAGCCUGAACCAGCCAAGUCGCGUGAAGGAUGACGGCCCUACGGGUUGUAAACUUCUUUUGUCAGGGAGCAAUUUGGUCCACGCGUGGGCUUAGCGAGAGUACCUGAAGAAAAAGCAGCGGCUAACUCCGUGCCAGCAGCCGCGGUAAUACGGAGGAUGCGAGCGUUAUCCGGAUUUAUUGGGGUUAAAGGGUGCGUAGGCGGACUAUCAAGUCAGCGGUAAAAAUUCGGGGCGCAACCCCGUCGUGCCGUUGAAACUGAUGGUCUUGAGUGUGCGAGAACUAGUCGGCAUGCGUGGUGUAGCGGUGAAAUGCAUAGAUAUCACGCAGAACUCCGAUUGCGCAGGCAGCAUACCGGCGCCCAACUGACGCUGACGCACGACCGCGUGGGUAUCGAACAGGAUUAGAUACCCUUGUAGUC
RNAcentral lists this ribosomal RNA (460 nucleotides) under uncultured bacterium. RNAcentral describes it as "partial 16S ribosomal RNA". It matches the Rfam family "Bacterial small subunit ribosomal RNA", at positions 338 to 795 of the family's 1533-position model. The record is from RNAcentral.